Ictalurus punctatus (channel catfish) is the source of this 3021-nucleotide long non-coding RNA. Lineage: Eukaryota; Metazoa; Chordata; Actinopteri; Siluriformes; Ictaluridae. The record is from Ensembl.
GUUGAAGGGUUGAAGUGUUCGCUGCUCUAACCGGUAGUUCACUUCUUCAGAAAAUGGAAUGCAUUUCAAAAGAGUUUCAACUUGAUUCGAUCUGAUUUUUUUAGCCGAUUAGCUGAAACGGGUCUGAGCGGACUGAGCCGAGUCAACCUCUCUCCAACACCUAUUGAUUUCUGCAAGAGAAACACAUCUGUGUUGUGGAUAAGGAAACAGUGAGUAUUUUUCGAGGACAGUGUGUGUGUGUGUGUGUGUGUGUGUGUGUGUGUGUGUGUGUGUGUGUCCGUGUACGAGGUCUUUUAGACCUCAUUAGUGAAGGACACUGAAACCAUUGUGCUCACACACACACACACACACACACACACACGAGCAACACUUUCCAGUUGUCAUCUCUUGCACAACAUUCUGCAUUCUGUACAGUCCUUUACGCAUCACAAUAAACACACCUUCCUCAUGCUCUCAUUUAAAGCUGCUAUUCGUCUCCUUAUGCCUUUUGCCCACUCAUUUCACACACAAACUCAUUCUACAACCCAUUUUAGAGUGAAAUAUUAACUCAUUCGGACAUGCGUCUAAUAAUGGAAUUAGAUGUGACCAGUGCCCCGGGGAAUGGAGGCAGAAGGGAGUGUGCAGUGGGAGAGAGGACAGAGGAGCCUGGGAAGAUCUCCCCCAAAUAAUGAGCGGUGAGAUAGAAGUGACUUUGGAUCUUGGGGGAUUCGACAGACACGUAGAUUUGGAGUGUGUGUGUGUGUGUGUGUGUGAGUGUGUGUGUUAUUGUUUGUGUAUGUGUGUGUGUUUUGCAGUCUGAGUUAAAUGGUGUGUCAAUUCCACUUUGUGAGUCAGUCAGUCCAUUCCAUUAGACACACAAACACACACAUACACACACGUGCACACACGUGCACACACCCACACACACGCGCGUACGCACACGCACACACACACACUCUCUCUACUCCAGUACAGUUGUGGCCUCUGUGGAUGCAUAAUCAUUGCCAGGAGUCACAGGCAAUAUAGUGAGAAUUGGAUCUUUAGUGCCUGUUAAAAUAUUACUGAGCUGAUUAAUAUUGAAAUAUGCACGUCUCUAAGCCGUCUAUCCCUCAUUUUCUUUCCCACUUUCCAUCUAUUUCUCUCCCUGUCCGCACCGUUCUCCUUCAUCUCUCAAUGUCUCCUUCGCUAUUUCGGCUACUUAGUCGCAUUUCGCUUGAAUUAGCAAGACGGCUUGAUGUGAAUUAUUUGAAGGAAGAGUUUGAAAGUGUUUGCACACGUUUGAUGUUCUCUUACAUAUUUUCGAAGCCCGUGGUCCCUGUUUUGAAUUGUUAUGCUGACCCGUCUCAUAUAUUUUGAAUGGAAAGACAUAAAUAUAGCGGCAGGUCACAAGUUAGCCUAACCGGAACACCUAGUCGGUGAUGUGUGACCUGAACAGUCCAUUAGUCACGGUACGCUCUUAUUCAUGCCACGCAUAGCUUUAUGUCUCUAACUGAUUUUUACACUACUAAUUAAUGUUUCACGGUGCUGUUUAUAAAAGCCAGAGGCGCCUAAGGAGGUAAAGGGCAUGGGGUAGCAUGGAUCAUUACAGAGUUAUGGUAUUUAAAUUAGCCCCCCCCCCACCCUAUUUUCAUCAUCACCUAUCCUUAUGCAUAUAUGGAUGUGUGUGUGUGUGAGAGAGAGAGAGAGAGUGAGAGAGAGAGACUCAAGACUGCUGCAGGCCUGUGAUAUCAACAGAUACAGCAGAGAAAUUCUCCCACCAAGAUGGUCUCAAAGUUGUGAAUUCAGUGAAGGCCAGAGUGCAGGGUGUGUUUUUGCGGUCGUUUCUUGCACCUCCGUUCAUACGACAUAUAACUCAGUUGCUCUUGCUUGAUAAAAAUUCAUAAAGAUUUUGCGUCACUUUGCUCUCGCGUUGAUAUUUCACAGAUGCACGCAUACAUGUCCAUUGAAACCAAGGGAAUCUGUGCUAAAUCAGUCAUGUCUUUUGUACACGAAUCCAAUAAUGCUAAUUUCGCCCGCCGCGCUAUUUGUGAUUUGCGAUUGCUUUCUGUGGCAUAUAGCAUGAAAUGUUCUUGGCUUGUUAAACCCUAAUUGGCUGUAAUCGUUACUAGACUCUUCAAAUCCAUACUUGGCUCAUAGAUCUAAUGACAAGACUGGACUUGUGUGUAUUGUGUAUCUAUCUGCCUACAGGUAAUGUGGGAUGCUGAUGUUAUGAGGAUAUCAAGCAAAAAUGAAUAAGGAGCUAAAUACUGAUGCUUCAGUGGAGUGCCAUCAUCAUCCUCCAUUGUACUGGAUGGAUUUUUUACGUCACGUUUUCUAGACCUAAUGAUGAUGCUUAUAAUUGAAGAUGUGUGUGUACAGUGUACAGUAGUUAGUUCACUCAACCUGAUUGGUAAGUGUAAACCGUGCGUAUACUGGAUAUUAAAUAACAGCACAUUUCCCACUCGGUUAUCCAUACCUGUUUCGUUCCAGUGACCACUGGUAACUAUGGUAACAGUAACAGUUGCUCUGCUUUAAACCACUACUGUCGUCCGGCUGCUAGCAUUACCUUAAUGAACACCAGGAAUAGAAAAUACUUCAUAUUUGACUUGCACUGCCAGGCUUGCAUUCAGAUAAUACAUUUUUUUUUUAAAAUUUAAACCCAAAAGACCUAAGUUACAGUUAUAACUCCAAGCUAGCAACAGUUAUUUCCAUAUUAUUAUUAAUAUGGGCAGUUUCUUUCACCAAAAACAAAAAAAAGUAUUCCCACUCCAAGUGGCUUGUCAGUAUGUAUAGAACAAAACACGAUGGGCCAAAAUAUUAUACGAAAAUGAUCAGAGAUUUGACUCUGACUGCUGACACUGGAGACUAAACAAACCUCUCCUCACAGAAGACGUCACCAUAUCAUCACUAUAUUAAGAAUUUAACAGUGUUUAUCUCUCUCACUCUCUCAAGCCCUCUCUCUCGCUUUUUCUCUCUCUCCUUCUCUCUCUCCCCCUCUUUCUCCCUCUCUCUCUCUCUUUCUCCCUCGCUCCGUCUUUCCAUAAUGAUGUUGCAUUUUAAACG